Molecule: long non-coding RNA, 250 nt
Filed under: Olea europaea (common olive)
Lineage: Eukaryota; Viridiplantae; Streptophyta; Magnoliopsida; Lamiales; Oleaceae
Description: long non-coding RNA (OEUR_LNC003712)
Source: RNAcentral
UUCCGACCCCGUCUGUCGAACCUAUCGCCUCUAUUCCUCAUCCUUCCCAUCUCAACAUCGUGAAAUUCAUCUUCGCCCAUAUCACUCCCAUAUCCAUACUUCUCUCACCUUUCCCUCCUAGGCUCCCAUCUAUCCGGUCCUCUGGCAUUAGAUACAUCCACUCGAUGCCUCCGACUAAGAUUAGCCACCGAUGUAUCUAAUCUAUUCAUCCAAGCCUCCUGCUUCUCCAACCUAUCUCUCACAUCUCCAA